GGAGGGCAUAGCUCAGUGGUAGAGUGUGUGCUUAGCAUGCACAAGGUCCUGGGUUCAAUUCCCAGUACCUCCA
Molecule: transfer RNA, 73 nt
Filed under: Vicugna pacos (alpaca)
Lineage: Eukaryota; Metazoa; Chordata; Mammalia; Artiodactyla; Camelidae
Description: tRNA-Ala (AGC) (tRNA-Ala-AGC-514-1)
Rfam family: tRNA
About the family: Transfer RNA (tRNA) molecules are approximately 80 nucleotides in length. Their secondary structure includes four short double-helical elements and three loops (D, anti-codon, and T loops).
Source: RNAcentral